RNAcentral lists this small RNA (35 nucleotides) under Anaerobutyricum hallii. RNAcentral describes it as "CRISPR_Spacer". The record is from RNAcentral. Lineage: Bacteria; Bacillati; Bacillota; Clostridia; Lachnospirales; Lachnospiraceae.
UGGCGGCUAUUCGUACAGCAGAGCAACAAAUUCUA